RNAcentral lists this ribosomal RNA (447 nucleotides) under uncultured bacterium. Its description in RNAcentral is "bacterial SSU rRNA". It matches the Rfam family "Bacterial small subunit ribosomal RNA", at positions 355 to 825 of the family's 1533-position model. The record is from RNAcentral.
UCGGGAAUUUUGGGCAAUGGGCGAAAGCCUGACCCAGCAACGCCGCGUGAAGGAUGAAGUAUUUCGGUAUGUAAACUUCGAAAGAAUAGGAAGAAUGAAUGACGGUACUAUUUAUAAGGUCCGGCUAACUACGUGCCAGCAGCCGCGGUAAUACGUAGGGACCAAGCGUUGUUCGGAUUUACUGGGCGUAAAGGGCGCGUAGGCGGCAAUUCAAGUCAUCUGUGAAAUCUCCGGGCUUAACUCGGAACGGUCAGAUGAUACUGCUUUGCUAGAGUGCAGAAGGGGCAAUCGGAAUUCUUGGUGUAGCGGUGAAAUGCGUAGAUAUCAAGAGGAACACCUGAGGUGAAGACGGGUUGCUGGGCUGACACUGACGCUGAGGCGCGAAAGCCAGGGGAGCAAACGGGAUUAGAUACCCUUGUAGUCCCUGAGCGGGCUGGCAAGGCGCAU